This 253-nucleotide ribosomal RNA is filed under the name uncultured bacterium. Its description in RNAcentral is "partial 16S ribosomal RNA". It matches the Rfam family "Bacterial small subunit ribosomal RNA", at positions 524 to 776 of the family's 1533-position model. The record is from RNAcentral.
UACAGAGGUCCCAAGCGUUGUUCGGAUUCACUGGGCGUAAAGGGCGCGUAGGCGGCGGUGUAAGUCUGAUGUGAAAGCUCCGAGCUUAACUCGGAAAUGGCAUUGAAUACUAUCCUGCUUGAGGUUUGGAGGGGGGACUGGAAUUCUCGGUGUAGCAGUGAAAUGCGUAGAUAUCGAGAGGAACACCAGUGGCGAAGGCGAGUCCCUGGACAACACCUGACACUGAGGCACGAAAGCUAGGGGAGCAAACAGG